GCUGAGAAUUCAUUCUUUCAUUUAUCUAUGCAUAUAUAUACAUACACACACACACACACACACAUAUAUAUAUUUUUUAAUUUAUGAAUUUGCCCAGGCCAGGCACAGUGAUUCAUGCCUGUAAUCCCAGCAUAUUCGGAGGCUGAGGUAGGAGGAUUGCUUGAGGCCAGGAACUCAAGGAUAGCCUGGGCUACAGAGGGAGACCUCGUCUCUCCAAAUAAUAAUAAUAAAAAAAAUUAGCUGGGCAUGGUGGUGUGUGCCUGCAGUGUCAGCCCUCAAAAGGCUGAGCCUGGAAGAUUGCUUGAGUCCAGGAGGUCAAGGCUGCAGUAAGCUGUGAUCAUACCCGUGUAUUGCAGCCUGGGUGCCAGAGCUAGACCCUGUAUCUAAGAAAAUAUACAUAUAUAUACACAUAUAUAUACACACACACACAUGUACCUACUCUUACUUACAUUUCUUUGUGUAUCAUUGGCUUAUUUUGAGGUUUAAAACCAGAAUCAAAGAAAAUUGAUUGGAGGAUCACCUGACUGAAGCAAAAUUCAUCUCUCCCACCAAAAGGAAGGAUUUGCCAGCCGGAGUUCGCAUCUGAAAAUCAGCAGUAAUAAUCCUGCUAAGCACAUCGAAACAGUCCGUGUGAUGCUCUGAAUAGAUUCUGACAAACUUAACUGGGGCAGGCAACUGGGGAAGGUCGUCGGUGACUCACACGCUAACGAUGGAAAGUGGCUGGUCCUUUCAGCUUCAUCCCUCCAUCCACGGCGUGUUCAAGAUCCCAGGAGCUCCAGCUCUCACGCCUCCCUUUCAGAACAAAAGGGUCCUGCCCAGGGAGAUACAGCGUCUAGGCCCACACAACACAAAGCAGCUGAGCUGGGAACUCAGGAGGAAACACGCGUUGUGGGUGCCUGGCUAACUUGGGAGAAGCGGGAAUUCCUACAGAGGAGAAUGAGAUGGAAGCGAUAAUCACAGAAAUGGCAGGAGAUAACAGCUGUCAGUCAAAUACAUUUUCUGAAAAAUGGCUACCUGCUGGGUUCUCACUGGAAAUUUAAAAGAGAAUCAAUUGUAGACAAAUUCUGGGAGAAUGUCAAACAAGGAAAAAUAAAGAACAUGCUGAGACUAAAAAAAAAAGGUAGAACCUAUACCGUUUUCACUUCAUUUCAGCCACAAGAAAUGACAUAGUAAUAUUGAGUAGUCAAUAUACUGAUAGAAAAAAAAAAUCCUUCUCAAGAAUUCUCCGAGAUCACGGUAGA
Molecule: long non-coding RNA, 1241 nt
Filed under: Macaca mulatta (Rhesus monkey)
Lineage: Eukaryota; Metazoa; Chordata; Mammalia; Primates; Cercopithecidae
Description: lncRNA (ENSMMUG00000064632.1)
Source: RNAcentral